Molecule: non-coding RNA, 26 nt
Filed under: Mus musculus (house mouse)
Lineage: Eukaryota; Metazoa; Chordata; Mammalia; Rodentia; Muridae
Source: RNAcentral
UUCCUGACUUACCUGGGCAACAAAAG